CCAGGAUAGUUUGGCUACCCUCGUCGUCGUCUCACUCACCCCGCCUUCACGCCUCCCUCACCAAAUAAGGUCCCGCCCUUUUCCGACAUUCACAGGGGGGACAGGAAAUCAGCGGCCAUGGCCUCGAUUCCGGCGACGACCUUCGCCGUCAUCUUAUCCGUCCUCUUCUGUGCCGCGGCUGGCACCGCCGUCGACAACGACCUCCCCGACUACGUCAUCCAGGGCCGCGUCUAUUGCGACACCUGCCGCGCCGGGUUCGUGACCAAUGUCACCGAGUACAUCGCGGGCGCCAAGGUGAGGCUGGAGUGCAAGCACUUCGGCACCGGCAAGCUCGAGCGCUCCAUCGACGGGGUGACCGACGGGAACGGCACGUACACGAUCGAGCUCAAGGACAGCCACGAGGAGGACAUCUGCGAGGUGGUCUUGGUGGAGAGCCCGCGCAAGGACUGCGACCAGGUGCAGGCGGACAGGGACCGCGCCGGCGUCCUGCUCACCAGGAACGUCGGCAUCAGCGACAACCUGCGCCCCGCCAACCCGCUCGGCUACCUCAAGGACGUGCCGCUGCCCAUCUGCGCCUCGCUGCUCAAACAGUUGGACUCGGACGACGACGACGAUCAGUAAUAGCACAUCGACGACGACGAUCGAUAUGUAAUAGCACGUCGUCGACGACCGACCGCAGUCGUCGCAGACUGGCUGGCACUAAACCACAAAUCCUCUUCACCUGGAUUACAAAUAUGUAACUGAGAAAGGAAAGGAAAACAAAAAUGUAACUGCGUGGCUGUACCAAAUUCUGAGUGCUGGAUUCUUGCUAUUGUCACCCAUUGUUCGUUUUAUCAUACAAGUUGCAGCGCAGCGCAAGACGGCUAAGGCCUUGUUCGUUUGUGUCGGAUUGCAUCCGGAAUCGUUCCACCUAAUCAAAGUUUAUAUAAAUUAGAGAAGCAAUCCGGUUCGAAAUCAUUCCGACCCACCAAUCCAGUAGAAACGAAUAAGGCCUAAAACAGACAGCAAUACAGCUCUGGUGAAAACAUGCCGACAGAAAUAACCAAUCUAAUGACCUGCGGUUCUGACAGCAAGAUAAAUAUACCAUUUCAUUUCCAUGGGAAAUCAAUAAGUUACAUGGCGUUCAUAAGGACUAAGCACGGCCAAGGUGUAUUUUGCACCUAAAGCACGCACAGCAUAUUGAUUACAUAACAUCUCAUGAAGCGUGCAUUAGUCCUAAGGGGUGCUCGUGGCAAAGCUUGGAUUAUCAAAGAAGAAGAUAGCUAUUCUUCUCUACCACGGCUUCAGAUCUCCCACAGGACCAGCGGUCCAGUUGAGGCGCUGAUCGCCAGGUUGUAAGAACGUACCCUCUGGGUGCGGGAGCUUCCGAGCAAGGCCGUUCAAGAUUUGGUGGAACGCGUCCCUUGGUUGCGCUGGCUGUGGGAACAACAUUGCCUGCUUCAUCGAUGGAUUUGCGAGUAACCUUUGCUUCCUUAAGAUGUCAUCUAUAGGCAUCGACGUGAGGAUCGUGUCAAGCUUUGGGACAUCCUUCUCCUCGACAAAGACGCCGAUUUCCUCCCAUGGGAUCGCGUCCGCAAAUGGAAGCACGAUGUCAUCAGCUAUGAUGACUGGAAUGCAGCCAAAGACCACAGCCUCAACCAACCUAGGGCUCCACGGUGCCCAGCCCAAUGGGCACAGGCAGAAGACAGCGCGCUGCAUGUCUUCAUAGUAAGUGGCAGGGUGGUCUGUGGAAAUGUCAAACAGAGGGUUGCUCUUGAAGUUCUCCCAUAGCGAAGCUCGCGCACCUCUGUAUGACAAUAUUGAAGUGAAUGAAGGUAUCAAACAUACAAGAUUCAAAUCUGUUCAAACUUGAAAAGCAGUUGCUACCUUGCAUAGUAUCCGCCCUCGGGGUCAUUCCCCGUGUCAUAAAAAAGUCCCCGGAAGUAAACGAAGAUUGAGCGUGGAGUGUCUGGGGAAAUCAAGUGAGCUUGCAUUUUCUGCGGAGGAGCAUAGGGUGGAAUAAUGAUGGAACCCUCCUUCAGGCAAACAUGAUUCUCCUGUCCAAAGGUUUGGACCAAUGUAGCACGUCGCAGCAAUGGAAGAAUUCCACGCUCGAUAGCUUUUUCUUCCUGGAAAUGCCGAUACAAUCGUUACACAUACAACUUGUGAGUAAAAUGUAAGUUAAGGCAUUAAAAGGCAAGACUGCACACAAUGAAAAGCAUGGUGAACCUCACCUGAUAGUGGAAGCAUGCUGCAAAAUCAUGCGGAACAACGAAGAAAUGAUCUGCUCCAUCAGUCCUAUUCCAGAAGGGCCAUUUGUUUGAAAUAUAUUGGAUCGCGCUCCUCAUCACCCGUGGUGACUUAAACGGCAAGGGCAGUCCAGCGUUAGUUAAAUCGCAAGUAGUGUAAACUGGUGUAUAGAACCAAUCAGCUUCCUUGGGAUUUAGUGUCCGGACAGCACUCGAGAGCAAGAAACGAUGCAUGAAAAUUUCAGCAGCAAACAUGUGACUGAGGCACCGUGAAUCCUUGGUGACCAUCUUCUUGUUGUACUUCCUUGGUAAGUCAUAAAUGAAGACCUUCAACCUACCCACAGGAUUAUCUUCUAACACAUCACCAGCACUCCCUACAGUUUCAUAAUUGCUGUUUCAGUCCACACAAGCAACACACAUGAACAAAAUAUGAAGUAGACAAAGCAAAACAAUCAUAUGGAGAUUUUUCUACAUAAUAUUGUGAGCAACCUCUCCAUGUAGACUACAUCUAAGGUUACGAUACAAUAGUCUUUUUAAAGUUGAACCAAUUCAUGUCAUUAAGUUGGGCUCAUCUUUGUUUCCAUACCAUUUCAGCCAACCGAACCCAGAUUACCUGUAUACAGCUGCAUAUAAAGAAGACUCAUUUUCCAUGUUUCGAUAUCUGUUAGGAUCAACCUUACAAGUAACAAAAGCAAGAAAUUCUGGUGGACUAAAUGAAGGAGGACACCCAAAAUUAACCCUCAAGUAACAACUAAACGGUGAUUGUGUCACCCACAACUAACUACAAAGACGAUCGAGCUUGAACCUGAAAAUCUUCACGGAGAAAAAGUAAAAAAGAAGGCAAAAAAUGGAAAGCAAAUUCAGGCUGCACUGAUACAGAUUUGUCUAUCGGCCUCAAAGACGUCCUAGUCCACAAGUCUAAUCAACAGCAACAGCUAAGAAUAUUCAGAAAUCACCUAAUCAAUCUCCAACUCCACAGCUACAAGAGAUUAGUAUCACACGGAACGAAGAAAUUAACAGCUACGUAGGCCUCGGAUUCCAAGGCAGGCUACGAGAAGCAACACGUCGAAGGGUAGGGGAAAAAUCAAGUUCCUAAAUCACACCAGAAUCAACUUCGGAAAUUAAGAGGGGAAGAAGGUGGGGCACCUGAGAUGCGCUCGCUAUGCUGCUGAACGGCGUGUUCGGCCUCGCCGCCUCCGGCGGCGGCGGCGGCGACCGGCGGCCAGAGGGCAGAGUCGGCCAACAGCAGGAGGGCCACGGGGAACCACCCCUUUCUUGAUCCCAUCCCAGAAGACCUCUCCGGCCUCGACCUCCCGCAGCAAAGAGAGAGCUUGGCAAGGGGAUUGGAUUUAGGAAUUCGGUAAACAGAAGCAGGUUGGGGAAACUAAGGAGAGAUUUUGUUAGGGAACGUAUCUCGUGCUCAGGCGAUGUCCGUGCUCAUGUGAGCACUUUAAAUCGUGAGUGUUCCUUUUUAAUCCAACGAUUAGUGUUUUUUAUUCACUUAAGUCCUCUCACCUCAACGAUGAGUGUUCCUGAUCAGCAGCCUGAUCGUUGGAUUAAGAAGAAACACUCAUGAUUUAAAGUGCUCACAUGAGCACGGACGUCGCGUGAGCACGAGAUACGUUCCCAUUUUGUUAACGAGGAAGAGGGGACCGGGGAGGAGAGGAGAGAAUGGGUCCUUCCCUGCGACUGCGAGUCUGCGACCAGUCCACAGUUAUCAAACGGAAACACCUAUUUUUUUUCUCCUUCUGAGUCAUAGUUUUGAAAUAAGGUUGAACUAGAGGUGUUUACCUAUCUAGUGACAUUUUUUAAUAUACUAGAGCUAAUAGUUAGUUAGAUAAAAAAUUACGAAUAAAAUUAGCUAGCUAACAAAUAACUAGCUAACUAUUAGCUAGUUUGCUAAAAAUAACUAAUAAUUAAACUAAUAGAUAAGAUGUUUGGAUAUCUUCAGUUAAUUUUAUCAAUUACUCUGUCCAUAUGUUUUAGUUGUUUUAGUCUAUCAUAAUUCAAAUUAUUUUAACUUUAACCAAUAAUAUAUAUAAGAUUAAAUUAUUUUAAGCUAAAAAGAAUUACAUAUUAUGGUAGUUUAAUUUUAUGUUGUAAAAUCUUAUGAACAUUUGAUAUAUUCAAAUAAAAUUAAUAGUGGUUAACUUAGAAUAAAUCUAAAACGAUUAAAUCAUGUGGAGAGAGAUAGAGUAACUAUUAGCUUAGUGUAAGGUUAUGGUCUUGAACUCUUGACUGAGCAAGUUCGUUACCCGAAAAAAAA
RNAcentral lists this long non-coding RNA (4494 nucleotides) under Zea mays. Its description in RNAcentral is "long non-coding RNA (ZMAY_LNC000852)". The record is from RNAcentral. Lineage: Eukaryota; Viridiplantae; Streptophyta; Magnoliopsida; Poales; Poaceae.